Molecule: unclassified non-coding RNA, 545 nt
Filed under: Fusarium culmorum
Lineage: Eukaryota; Fungi; Ascomycota; Sordariomycetes; Hypocreales; Nectriaceae
Description: sequence contains 18S rRNA gene, ITS1, 5.8S rRNA gene, ITS2, 28S rRNA gene
Rfam family: 5.8S ribosomal RNA (bases 192-345)
Source: RNAcentral
UCGUAACAAGGUCUCCGUUGGUGAACCAGCGGAGGGAUCAUUACCGAGUUUACAACUCCCAAACCCCUGUGAACAUACCUUAUGUUGCCUCGGCGGAUCAGCCCGCGCCCCGUAAAAAGGGACGGCCCGCCGCAGGAACCUUAAACUCUGUUUUUAGUGGAACUUCUGAGUAUAAAAAACAAAUAAAUCAAAACUUUCAACAACGGAUCUCUUGGUUCUGGCAUCGAUGAAGAACGCAGCAAAAUGCGAUAAGUAAUGUGAAUUGCAGAAUUCAGUGAAUCAUCGAAUCUUUGAACGCACAUUGCGCCCGCCAGUAUUCUGGCGGGCAUGCCUGUUCGAGCGUCAUUUCAACCCUCAAGCCCAGCUUGGUGUUGGGAGCUGCAGUCCUGCUGCACUCCCCAAAUACAUUGGCGGUCACGUCGAGCUUCCAUAGCGUAGUAAUUUACAUAUCGUUACUGGUAAUCGUCGCGGCCACGCCGUUAAACCCCAACUUCUGAAUGUUGACCUCGGAUCAGGUAGGAAUACCCGCUGAACCUAAGCAUAUC